Molecule: ribosomal RNA, 497 nt
Filed under: uncultured bacterium
Lineage: Bacteria
Description: partial 16S ribosomal RNA
Rfam family: Bacterial small subunit ribosomal RNA
Source: RNAcentral
GAUGAACGCUGGCGGCGUGCCUAAUACAUGCAAGUCGAGCGAACAGACGAGGAUCUUACUUCUCUGACGUUAGCGGCGGACGGGUGAGUCACACGAGGAUAACCUACCUAUAAGACUGGGAUAACUUCGGGAAAGCGGAUCUAAUAUCGGAUAAGAUGUUGAACCGCAUGGUUCAUCAGUGAAAGACGGUCUUGCUGUCACUAAUAGAUGGAUCCGCGUCGCAUUAGCUAGUUGGUACGGUAACGGCUUACCAGGGCGACGAUGCGUAGCCGACCUGAGAGGGUGAUCGGCCACACUGGAACUGAGACACGGUCCAGACUCCUACGGGAGGCAGCAGUAGGGAAUCUUCCGCAAUGGGCGAAAGCCUGACGGAGCAACGCCGCGUGAGUGAAGAAGGUCUUCGGAUCGUAAAGCUCUGUUAUUAGGGAAGAACAGAUGUGUAAGUAACUAUGCACGUCUUGACGGUACCUAAUCAAAAAGCAACGGCUAACUACGUG